RNAcentral lists this ribosomal RNA (441 nucleotides) under uncultured bacterium. Its description in RNAcentral is "partial 16S ribosomal RNA". It matches the Rfam family "Bacterial small subunit ribosomal RNA", at positions 338 to 795 of the family's 1533-position model. The record is from RNAcentral.
CCUACGGGUGGCAGCAGUGGGGGAUAUUGCACAAUGGGGGGAACCCUGAUGCAGCGACGCCGCGUGGGUGAAGGAGUGCUUCGGCAUGUAAAGCUCUAUCGGCAGGGAAGAAGCAAGAGGGUACCUGACUAAGAAGCCCCGGCUAACUACGUGCCAGCAGCCGCGGUAAUACGGAGGGGGCGAGCGUUAUCCGGAUUCACUGGGGGUAAAGGGAGCGGAGGCGGGCCAGCAAGUCUGAUGUGAAAACCCGUGGCCCAACCCCGGGAGUGCAUUGGAAACCGCGGGCCUAGAGUGCAGGAGAGGUAAGCGGAAUUCCUGGUGUAGCGGUGAAAUGCGUAGAUAUUAGGAGGAACACCAGUGGCGAAGGCGGCUUACUGGACUGUAACUGACGCUGAGGCUCGAAAGCGUGGGGAGCAAACAGGAUUAGAUACCCGAGUAGUC